AUUGAACGCUGGCGGCAGGCCUAACACAUGCAAGUCGAGCGAGCGGCGGACGGGCGAGCUAUGUAUGGGGACUGCCCGAUAGAGGGGGCUAACCACUGGAAACGGUGGCUAACACCGCAUACUAUCGUUUAACCCAUAGGGGAUUCGCUAGUAGGUGGGGUAAAGGCUAACCUAGGCGACGCUCUCGAGCUGGUAUGCGAGGAUGAUCAGCCAAACGGGGACUGAGACACGGCCCAGACUCCGACGGAGGCAGCAGUGGGGAAUAUUGCACAAUGGGCGCAAGACGGAGGCAGCCAUGCCGAGUGUAUGAAGAAGGCCUUAGGGUUGUAAAGUACUUUCAGGGGGGAGGCGUUACCGACAGAAGAAGCACCGGCUAACUCCGUGCCAGCCGCCGCGGUAAUUC
RNAcentral lists this ribosomal RNA (403 nucleotides) under uncultured bacterium. RNAcentral's name for it is "partial 16S ribosomal RNA". It matches the Rfam family "Bacterial small subunit ribosomal RNA", at positions 29 to 526 of the family's 1533-position model. The record is from RNAcentral.